UGAUACACGGUAGAAAAUCACAGC
RNAcentral lists this microRNA (24 nucleotides) under Lotus japonicus. RNAcentral's name for it is "lja-miR11154-5p". Lineage: Eukaryota; Viridiplantae; Streptophyta; Magnoliopsida; Fabales; Fabaceae. The record is from miRBase by way of RNAcentral.